ACUGCAGCCAGGUCCUUCAGGACUAGCAUCUGCUUUCCCGGGAUGCCUAGCCUCCCUGAGCUACCUGGCACCUCUUGCACCUUAGAGGUUUCCGGAAGUUCCAGCCACUUUCAAUACCAUGGCAGAACCCUGGCUUUUCUGCUGUCAGUGAACCAAGACUGUAUGCUGAGGUGCAGAUACUCACCUGGUGGGUAAGAGUAACCAGGACUGCAGAAACAACAGGAUCUGGAAGACAACAGGAUACCUGUAAACAUGAAAACACACGGUAAUGGACACCGUGGACAUGUGCUCAUAAGCAGUAUUCACAAAGGACGGGAGUGUCUGAGAAGGACUCAGGAGCCAGACACGUCCCUUCCUCUUACCUCCUGCAACGCCCCCAGAAGCUCCCC
RNAcentral lists this long non-coding RNA (389 nucleotides) under Cricetulus griseus (Chinese hamster). Its description in RNAcentral is "lncRNA (ENSCGRG00015042737.1)". Lineage: Eukaryota; Metazoa; Chordata; Mammalia; Rodentia; Cricetidae. The record is from RNAcentral.